UUUAGUAGAAUCUAUGGUUUUAAGGUCAUAGUAGUUUUACGAUCGUAUACUUGAAGUUCUGGUCCGAUUCAGGAUCACUAUUUUAACAACCUUGUGUGGUUAAUUUGCAGGAUCGUGAUAGCUAUUGCAAGAUGAUGCACAAGUACAUAGGAUCAGAUGUUACAUCACUUGUGACACUUCCAGUCAUAAUUUUUGAGCCAAUGACAAUGCUUCAGAAAAUGGCUGAGCUUUGUUAGGUGUUCCAUUUUAGUUAUCUGUCUACUUCCUUUAAACUGGUUCUGGUUAUAUGUGCGCGUAUCUAUUAUUAUGUAUAAGCAUUGUUGCUACUGGUCCUUAUCGAGAAUCGCAUAAGGAGACAACUUCAUGGGCUAGGAGGCUUAACUGACAGUUUCGACCUUGGGAUGAACAUGUUGUUGGGAGGAUACAAGGAAGAUGAUGGCGGUUCAAGCAAGUCGCAUGGCAAGAGCGGAAACCGAAAGAAGCACCUGAAGAACAGCAAGAAGAGGAAGAGGCAUUAGCCCUGGACUCACACUCCUGUAUCACUUCAACAUACUUGAGUGUGUGACAUGUCAGUUAUUUUACAGAUAUGUUAGUUUUACCAUAGUAUUGUUCGAUGUGAUCCUAGCAUGCCCGUGAAUGCUUUGGUUCCCUAUAGAGCUGUUGAUGUCUUUACAUAUUCUUAAGGUCCUUACCAUGUCAAUCACAUGGACUGGUGUGAGUAUAGCUUGUUCCUCAACCAACACUAUAUUAUUAGUUGUGAUUAUACAUAUAAUAUUGUUGCCAGGAUGCUGCCUCCCUUGCAGUAGCAAUCAUGAAAAAGGGACUGCGGAGUCGAAUAUUUCUGGGCUGUGACAACAAGCCCCUUUCCAGGCAAGAAAUUAUGGAUGUUGUUAACAAUAGUGGAAAAUUUGACACGAAGUUUGGAGGCUUUACCGGUUAGUCUU
Long non-coding RNA from Zea mays, 944 nucleotides. RefSeq lists it as uncharacterized. The transcript has 3 exons. The record is from RefSeq and is a predicted model, not a curated record. NCBI's taxonomy places the organism in Eukaryota, Viridiplantae, Streptophyta, Magnoliopsida, Poales, Poaceae.